RNAcentral lists this non-coding RNA (27 nucleotides) under Mus musculus (house mouse). The record is from RNAcentral. Lineage: Eukaryota; Metazoa; Chordata; Mammalia; Rodentia; Muridae.
UGGACCCUGGACCCUACCUACUCUUAU